GACGAACCGUGCGAACGUUGUUCGGAAUCACUGGGCUUAAAGGGCGCGUAGGCGGGCGAUCAAGUCAGAGGGGAAAUCCCACGGCUCAACCGUGGAAGUGCCCCUGAUACUGGUUGUCUCGAGGGAGAUAGGGGCGUGCGGAACUUUUGGUGGAGCGGUGAAAUGCGUAGAUAUCAAAAGGAACACCGGUGGCGAAAGCGGCGCGCUGGAUCUCUACUGACGCUGAGGCGCGAAAGCCAGGGGAGCAAACGGG
Molecule: ribosomal RNA, 253 nt
Filed under: uncultured bacterium
Lineage: Bacteria
Description: partial 16S ribosomal RNA
Rfam family: Bacterial small subunit ribosomal RNA
Source: RNAcentral